RNAcentral lists this ribosomal RNA (253 nucleotides) under uncultured bacterium. RNAcentral's name for it is "partial 16S ribosomal RNA". It matches the Rfam family "Bacterial small subunit ribosomal RNA", at positions 524 to 776 of the family's 1533-position model. The record is from RNAcentral.
UACAGAGGUGCCAAGCGUUAGACGGAAUCACUGGGCUUAAAGCGCGUGUAGGCGGGUCGUUAAGUGUCUUGUGAAAUCCCACGGCUCAACCGUGGAACUGCUGGGCAUACUGACGAUCUUGAGGCACUCAGGGGCCGUCGGAACAAAUGGUGGAGCGGUGAAAUGCGUAGAUAUCGGAAGGAACAUCAGUGGCGAAAGCGGCUUCCUGGACCAGCACCGACGUUCAGGCACGAAAGCGUGGGGAGCAAACAGG